ACCCUAAAGCCAAUCAAUUUGGCGGCCGUUGAUUCAGUGAUAAGAGGAGUUCGCCUUUUAAUCGACAGCCCACGAAUAAUUAGCUUUACCUAAUCAACAUCAUAGUUUGUAUACCGCCGUCUAGGUAAAUCUAAAAUGGUUUAUCUAUUAAGGUCAGAUUCCUUACAAGACAGGUCAUGGCGCAGCUAAUGGUAAAGAACAGGUGAUCUACAAUAGAACAUAAUUAUCUGACCUCAUAUAAAUAUUUGAGUGAGGAAAGGAUUUUAUAGUAAUUGAAGUUAAUAAUUCCUCCUGUGAAUCAUCUUAUCAGGUGUACAUAUCGCCCGUCGCUCGCGGGA
Molecule: ribosomal RNA, 338 nt
Filed under: Campylaspis macrophthalma
Lineage: Eukaryota; Metazoa; Arthropoda; Malacostraca; Cumacea; Nannastacidae
Description: partial small subunit ribosomal RNA
Source: RNAcentral